This 253-nucleotide ribosomal RNA is filed under the name uncultured bacterium. RNAcentral's name for it is "partial 16S ribosomal RNA". It matches the Rfam family "Bacterial small subunit ribosomal RNA", at positions 524 to 776 of the family's 1533-position model. The record is from RNAcentral.
UACAGAGGGUGCAAGCGUUAAUCGGAAUCAUUGGGCGUAAAGCGCACGUAGGCGGUUCGUUAUGUCGGAUGUAAAAGCCCUUGGCUUAACCGAGGAAGUGCAUCCGAAACUGGCGAGCUAGAGUACGAAAGAGGAUCGCGGAAUUCCCGGUGUAGAGGUGAAAUUCGUAGAUAUCGGGAGGAACACCGGUGGCGAAGGCGGCGAUCUGGGUCGAUACUGACGCUGAGGUGCGAAAGCGUGGGGAGCAAACAGG